CGGCCCACCUGGGCGACGAUCGGUAGGGGUUCUGAGAGGAAGGCCCCCCACACUGGAACUGAGACACGGCCAAGACUCCUACGGGAGGCAGCAGUGAGGAAUAUUGGUCAAUGGGCGGAAGCCUGAACCAGCCAAGUAGCGUGCGGGACGACGGCCCUAUGGGUUGUAAACCGCUUUUUCACGGGGAUAAAGUGCGCCACGCGUGGCGGCUUGCAGGUACCGUGCGAAUAAGGACCGGCUAAUUCCGUGCCAGCAGCCGCGGUAAUACGGAAGGUCCGGGCGUUAUCCGGAUUCAUUGGGUUUAAAGGGAGCGUAGGCCGCAUGUCAAGCGUGCUGUGAAAUCCCGGGGCUCAACCCCGGAAGCGCAGCGCGAACUGGCGUGCUUGAGUUGCAUCGAGGCAGGCGGAAUUCGUGGUGUAGCGGUGAAAUGCUUAGAUAUCACGAAGAACCCCGAUUGCGAAGGCAGCCUGCCAGUUGCACACUGACGCUGAUGCUCGAAGGCGCGGGUAUCGAACAGGAUUAGAUACCCUGGUAGUCCGCGCGGUAAACGAUGGAUGCCCGCCCUUGGGCCGCUACGGUUCAGGGGCCAAGCGAAAGCGUUAAGCAUCCCACCUGGGGAGUA
This 622-nucleotide ribosomal RNA is filed under the name uncultured bacterium. RNAcentral describes it as "bacterial SSU rRNA". It matches the Rfam family "Bacterial small subunit ribosomal RNA", at positions 261 to 882 of the family's 1533-position model. The record is from RNAcentral.